UUUAAAAGAACAUUAGUGUGAAUUUAGCUAGCUGUUGGCAGUUUAAGAGUGACUAACAGAUAUUAAAUAAGCAUGAAAUUCUGGCGGUGAAUGACACUUUUAUUGGGGCAAGGGCUGGGAGCUGAAGGAAGGAGAAAAAUAUUGCAACCAUCCAUGGUGACCUUCCCUUUUCCCUGGAUUUUACAGAGUCUUUGCGCAACUUUCCCAUCAUCGGGACAAGCCUGAGUUGGUGGAAGGGCCUUGUCCUUGCAGACUUCGACAGCACAUGAUGAACUUGGUGGAAUUGGAACUUGUUGGAUCCGCUGAAGUCAUUGACAAUCCCUUGCUGAUGUCACUGACACCAGGAUUUCCCCAAAUAACUGAAUAUUUCAGCCACUAACAGAUAAACACAUCUUCCAGUGUCAAGAAAGAAGCCUGUCUUGAAGACACUAUUGGGAACACAUGUAGGAACAGACAUCAUAUACUGGGCUGCAUAAAGAAAAAGGUGAAUAGAGGGCUGCAAAAAAUAAUUUUAAUCAGCUUUUCUGAACCUUUCCAUGUUUGAAAAACAAACUUGUGUUACUUAGUAUGUGAACUUAAAUACAACUGGGAUGGGACUUCUGUAUCAAAAACAUUUCCUCUAUUAAAAACCUGGAAACUGGCUGUCAUUACUCUUCCUUCUCUUUCUUCCCAAAUCAAAUAGUUGUGCCAACUGCUUGUUUUGUUUAACAGUCCCAGUCAGAGAGAUAUCAUGGCUAAUCACACUAUCAUUUUCUAAUGUUCACUGGAAGGAAAUCUCAAAUUGUUCUUGAGAA
Non-coding RNA from Cyanistes caeruleus (blue tit), 794 nucleotides. NCBI's taxonomy places the organism in Eukaryota, Metazoa, Chordata, Aves, Passeriformes, Paridae. The record is from RefSeq and is a predicted model, not a curated record.